This 493-nucleotide ribosomal RNA is filed under the name uncultured bacterium. RNAcentral describes it as "partial 16S ribosomal RNA". It matches the Rfam family "Bacterial small subunit ribosomal RNA", at positions 28 to 506 of the family's 1533-position model. The record is from RNAcentral.
GACGAACGCUGGCGGCGUGCUUAACACAUGCAAGUCGAACGGAAAGGCCUGCUUUCCCUUGUGGAUUGCGGGUACUCGAGUGGCGAACGGGUGAGUAACACGUGAGUGAUCUGCCCCCAACUUGGGUAUAAGCCUGGGAAACUGGGUCUAAUUCCCGAUAGGACUGCAGGGUGGUGCCUGUGGUGGAAAACGAUUUUCUAGUGGUUGGGGAUGAGCUCGCGGCCUAUCAGCUUGUUGGUGGGGUAAUGGCCUACCAAGGCGGCGACGGGUAGCCGGCCUGAGAGGGUGGACGGCCACAUUGGGACUGAGAUACGGCCCAGACUCCUACGGGAGGCAGCAGUGGGGAAUAUUGCACAAUGGGCGGAAGCCUGAUGCAGCGACGCCGCGUGGGGGAUGACGGCCUUCGGGUUGGAAACUCCUUUCGACCGCGAGGAAGCCACCUGGUUGGAAGGGUGGUGACGGUAGUGGUAGAAGAAGCACCGGCUAACUACGU